Molecule: RNA transcript, 1605 nt
Organism: Marmota monax (woodchuck)
Lineage: Eukaryota; Metazoa; Chordata; Mammalia; Rodentia; Sciuridae
Exons: 3
Source: RefSeq, a predicted model, not a curated record
CCCCCGCCGGGGCCUGGCGGGGGAGGGGAGAUAAUCCUCCCGAGCAGAAGCGCCGUCGGGAGGCUCGGGUGGGCCUCCCCCCGGCCGCGAGGCCCAGCGAUGAGGAGGACCCAAGAGAAGCGCGGGGAAGCAGGAGCGCAGGGCCUGGGCAGGCCGCGGAACCUGAUCCUCAGCUCCUCAAUUGCCCUCGGCCCUGCAGCUCCUUCACCCUGUCAGCGAGCAGAGAAUCACCUCAAACACCCAGGAUUCCCUUUUUCUGCAUCACCGUGUCACACGUGUGACAGUCAGAAGAGCCGAUGCUGGGGAACAUGGGAGGAAAUGGAAACAGGCCCAGCUAUUGUGAAGAAAAAUUCUGGAGAACAAUUCUGAAGUGCUCAGGGAGGUUGCCUCUGCCUAGACCGGCACCUAGGAUCUCCACCCUCAGGCAUCACCUCCAGAAAGUCUCCCAGCCCAUCAAGAAGAUGGAAAGGUCUGCUCAUUCCAGUGUGUCCCCAAGAGUGGAGCAGAAACAACCUGGGCUCCCCCAGAGGGAAGCAGCAUUGACUCAGCAGGAACCCAGUCCCAUGGAGAGGCCCCUGAAGGGGUCUCUCACAGCAGCACCAGCCCCAGAUAAAGGAGCAGCUGUGCUGUAGAUGAGCCCCAUGUGCUACCACACACUUCGAGAUUCCCAACUGGGGCCCAGACUUCAUGAACUGGAGAUGAGCCAUCAUGAUCCAGAGGGGCUCCGAGCACUCUCACAAACGGCUGUUUUGCUGUUUGGGGGAUUGUGUACGCAGCUGUAGUAAGGGAACAGCAGCAUGUGAAUUCUGGAUUAGUACAUAGCAGUUACAAAAAGGAACAGAGGAGACGGUGCCGUAACCCACUACUCUGAGGCUGGAGCAAGGAUCACAAGUUCAAGGCUAGCCUGGGCAACUUAGUGAAGACCUGUCUUAAAAUAAAUAAAUAAAUAAAUAGAAAGGGUUGGGGAUGCAGUUCAGUAGCAAAGCACUUGCCCAGCAUUCCUGAGUCCCUGGGUUCCAUCCCUAGCACCUGGGGGCACGGUGUUCCUGCAAGGAUCAACAUAGAUCUAUCAACACAGGUACAACGCACACAUACACAGCAGGUUCGGCACCCUUAGAUUCCACCAAUCACAGAUCAGAAAAUAUUCAAAAGAUGGGCUUGAUUCCCAACACUGCAAAAUAGAUUCAUAUGUAUAUACACAUAUAUAUGAAAACCUGCACUGAACAGGUAGACUGUCUUCUUGUCAUGAUUCCCAAAUAAAGUACAACAGCUUUUUACAUUGUAUCUGGUAUCACAAGGCUUUAGCUAUGACUUAAACUACACAGAGAUUUGCAUAGGUCUGAUACAAAUACAGCUCUAUUGUAUAUCAGGGACUUGAGAAUCCUCACAGUUUGGUAUGAUACGGGAAGGGGGGUCCUGGAAUCCCCACUAGGGGGUCAACUAGAUUUUUUAAUGAGAAGUAGAAGCAUAUAAUGUUGUAUUGUUUUUGUAAAUUAAUACAUAAAAGCAGGCACUUGGGACAGCAGGGAAUGAGGUAAAGAGAAACAAGAUUGGGAUGAAGGAUGAAAGAAACAAAAAUAAAAUCUAAAUUGUAAAAUUGUUCCG